CGGAGUCCAGUGGCGAUAAUACCAAUUCAGUGCAAUAUAUAUAUAUAUAUAUAUAUAUUUCAACCUUUGAAAAAUAAUAUUGGAAAACUGUUAGAUCUGAGCGAUGAGUUUGAAUGGUACGGUUUUCUCUCAAUAUAUAAAUAGAAUAGUAGAAAAGCCAAAGGAAACCACCGCGGAGCAGUAAGUUUUCCUUCUUCCCAGUAGGAACCAUUUUACGAUCGCUCACCUCAAGGAGUUUGCAUCUUAAAGUCUCGUUUCUAGCCAGAGCUCGUUUACCGUGGAGUCCGCGAUAAGGUGCAUGUAUUUACGUGUUACAGUGCACCUGCGCAUACAAGUAUAGACAUACGGCACUGCAUAGAGAAGUGCAACGCCAAUAGCGGAAGGUUCUUCCAGAGCUGCAUACAUACAUUUAUUUAAGUGGAACGAGUGGGGGACGUUCGCUGGAAAUGGAGGUUGAGCUGAGAUGGUAGCGAAGGGCAUAAGAGAGACGGUUUGUGGCUGUUGAAGAGGUUAGUUGAAAGAUAUUAGUGAAGUAUCGAUGAAGGAUUUAAAUAUAGAAAUACGUACGUACUUGUUAAGAGUUCAGCCGGUCGGGUUACAGUGAGUUAAAUUGAAGGUCGUGGAAGGAUGAGAGUGACGGUCGUAGAGAGCAGUGAAACAUAGCCGUAAAUAAAGUUUAAUUAAACUUCUGAAGUCGACUGGUAGUAGGUAUCCUCCAGGAGUGAGAGAGACAGGUCCGGUACCCUCCAGACAGUGGAUGGGUUUAGUCGUUGGCAGUUUAGAUCACGCGGCAGAGGGGAUUGAUUGGAAUUAUUCGGUCUGCGGAGCGGCGUUGGAAAAAGUCAAAAUGGGGGAAUGGUGUUUGAAUUGGAAAAUCGAGUGGGAGAAUUGACAGGGUAGAUACGGGUUGUGGAGGUGGGCAGUUGUACGUGGGGAAACGUUGGCAGCGCCCCCCGUUACGCAUAUCACGGUAGCUACGAGAACCUGCCUGGGAUUAACCUCUAAAGCCUGAUGACGAAUAGCUCUGUCGUGAAUAAAUCGAAACGAAUCCGUAGAGAUGUUUCGUCGAUUCUCUACAAAACCCGACGGCCAUUGAAUAUCGAUUCUCGCUGGUAUAACGAUUUAAAUAACGCAAAUCCGGGCUAUAUCGUCGUCGCUUCUGAUUGGCUCGAGGAUAAGGUAUUGUAGUAACAGAUAUUCUAAGCCUGCGAUGCAUCAUGGGAAACGUGUCCACCGGUGGCGCCGCCAUCAGUGUGUCUAACGUACUAUCAGGGUCUUAUAGUGUAUGCGUGUUAACUCUGAUCCGUCCUCUUUGUCCCAACGAAGAGUGAAGUUGCCGCGUUCGAGAGGAAAUUUUCGUUUCGUUUGCUCGCCAAAAUCUAGUGAUUUCAAAGUGUGUCACGAAAGUUGACAAUAACCCAGAAAUCCAGACUGUGCCACCGCUCGACGCGUUUUCUAUGGUGCACUGUACGAUUACAAUGUCAGGUUCUAAUAAUACCGCUGGAAGGAAGCGACGGUGCUGCCAUCUGUAUUAUCUUUUCGUAGCCUCUAUCCCGUGACGGUUGCUAAAAUAUUUGUGUCAUUAUUUCGUGUAGAUUCAGGAUGAAAUUAGGGAGGUUAUUUGGCCGCAGGAUAAUUUGCUUAACAGAGAUAUAAAUACACGGUGGCAGAUAGACUUUUGUGUUUCCGUUUCUCGACGGCGUCGGCAUUCACGGUUGUAAGCGGGAGCUUUUAAAUCGAUGAACUCACCACGGCCACUAUGAAUUAUGAAACUUGUAAUUCAUGGAUGUCCAUGGAGCGUGAACGAGCAGUCUGAAACUCUGCUCCCCCCUUUUGCAGGGUCGACCACUUCAAUUACGAGGUUCGUAAAUUAGCAAUUCGAGCCCCACCUCUCUUUUCUAUUCCGAAAAAAAAGUAUGUUUCCAACUUUGUUUUCCUAUUCUUCUUACUCAGCUAUACCUUUGAUUACCAAGAUCGGAAAAAAGGUUUAGCACGGGGAAAUUCUCGAUAAAUGGAAAAUAGGCUAUUCGCGAGAAAUCCGAGCUUUACUCUAAACCCAUGUCGCACGACACGAUCGGAAUUGAACUUAGUACAUUAGGCAGGAUUAUAUUUCAGUAUGAUGGCAACCCUUACGAAAUUGAAUGUGUAUUGGUACACCUGCUAAUGCCAUUACUAGAUAAUAACGGUCUGUAAUGGUUAUAAAUAAAUAAAAAUAUUCGACAACCUUUAUC
Long non-coding RNA from Cephus cinctus (wheat stem sawfly), 2231 nucleotides. RefSeq lists it as uncharacterized. Lineage: Eukaryota; Metazoa; Arthropoda; Insecta; Hymenoptera; Cephidae. The transcript has 3 exons. The record is from RefSeq and is a predicted model, not a curated record.